GUGCCAGCAUCUGCGGUUAAUCUGUUUUCUUUGCUUUUGUGUGGAUUAUGCGUAUUUAUUUAUGUGCAAUGUUAGGUUAAAUUUUUUUGUGACAGUGUGUGGUAAAUAGGUUUUGUUAUGAUAUAUAUGAUGACAGGGAUUAGAUACCCCAUUAAUGUAUUUUGUAAAGUUGUUCUAGUUUUGUAACUAAAAUGGUUUGGCAGUGAGCGAUUCUUAUUAGGGGAAUAUGCAUAGUGAAGGAUGGUCCACCUAUUAGUUUACUCUUUUUAUGUUGGUGUAUGUCUGGUUUGAUAUUAUUGUUGAAUAAUUUAAGUUUGUGUAGUUUUAGUUAAGCUAAGUCUAUGUGCUGCUUAUGGGAGUUUUUGUGUGUUACAUUAAUAAGGGUGUUAUUGUAAGAUGAUGUGAUUUAGGACUUAAUAG
This 420-nucleotide ribosomal RNA is filed under the name Echinococcus granulosus. Its description in RNAcentral is "partial small subunit ribosomal RNA". Lineage: Eukaryota; Metazoa; Platyhelminthes; Cestoda; Cyclophyllidea; Taeniidae. The record is from RNAcentral.